AAAUGGGGCAUGGAAGAACGACAGUAGUGCCCUUCCUGGAUGGACAGACCAGGGGUACCACUCUGCUCGGGCUGCAUUGGAAGUAAGGGAUAGACUGGCAUCCUACUUCAUGAGUGACGGCCAGGUGCCAUGGCAGGAAAGUGUCGUGACCCGUGCAGGACGGCAGGAAAUGUGAACCAUGCCAGUACCUAGAGGAACGUCCAUUGGCUGCUCGCCUUUUGGCAGACCUGCAGGACAGGCCACAUCAUUACAUUCAAGAAAUGCACUGGAAAAGUAUGUCUGCUUCCAAUCAAAGAAAGUGCGCACAGCUUUCUUACCCUGGAUCUGGGGCAGCGGCUCCUGCUUGUGAAGUUGACAACCUGCCUCAAAAAAAUGUUUGUUAUGGUGUCAUAUUCCGACACAAGGAAGUGAACACUAACUUACCCUGAAGAGCCAGCAGCAGAUGCCGCACCUUCUGAUGUGCUGGGGAGCCUAUAGAAAAAAUAAAUAUGUUGCAAUU
Molecule: long non-coding RNA, 499 nt
Filed under: Dermacentor andersoni
Lineage: Eukaryota; Metazoa; Arthropoda; Arachnida; Ixodida; Ixodidae
Description: uncharacterized LOC126547467
Source: RNAcentral